UAGAUCAGUUCCUAUCACAAAGUAAAUGCUCUAUAAGGGUUGGUCAUUAUUAUUAGGAAGGCCUCUAUUGUGUCCUCUCUAUUGCAACUUUCCUGAGGACAGCAGCAUUACUUUUUACAACUUUGUGUCCAGCAGUGACUCAAAUAAUGUCUGGUACAUAGGAGUAACUCAAAAAUGUGUUGUAGGCCACAUGGAUAGCUGGCACUGGGCUGGUGGUGACAGUGGGGGCUGGAAGAGCUGCAGGUCCCUAGGGACACGAAACGGGCAUGCAGGAGAUUAGAAGCCAGUAGGCACCAGUGUGGCUGCCACCAAAUGAACACCUGUUCCCUGGCAUCCUGGGCCUCAGAGGACCAGGAGCUUCCCCUUCCAUCCUGCCCUUUACACUGAGGCCAGAGAGUGGCAAGGGGAGGACAAGUGCAGGGGUUCCUCGCAAAGGUGGAAGGAACUUGGCCCGGCCUUGUCCAAGAUGUUUUUCAGGGGAAUCUGGUCAUUUUAACUAUACUGAGAUGCAUUAGAAGAUGCAAGCUGGAAAAAGGAAGAUUCCAAUUUGUGUUUUGAACUCUUGGUGGUACAGCAAAUGUAAAUCUCUUACAGAUGGAUCUGGGAACCCACUUGUCCAAAGAGCUGCCCAGCGUUCCCUGCUAGAGGUUUGUGUGUCCUCUCAUUCAGAACCUGGACAAUGAGUCCACUUGCAGUACCAGCUUUAGGCCCAGAGGAGACAUGAGACAUCAAUCAACAUAUGUAAAAUGAACAUUGGUUUGGACUCUGAGGUGAGGAGGGAGCUUGGAGGCUUUCAGAUCACAGGUUCGGGAUGGCACGUUCCUAAUUCCCUCUUGACCACAAAAUGUGAGGAUCUAGCCUCAAAUCUGCAACGCUUGCGUCUAAGAAAAAAAUUGUUUUUAAAUUUCCAUUUAACAGAAAUACAGAUGCAGAGCCAUAUAAUCAUCGGUCUUUGAUCACUCAGCAAAUCACAGAACAAGGAACAAAUCCUAGAGGGGAUGACAGGCCAGUUUUUGACCCUAUAGCCCAGCAACCUCAACACAGAACCGGAACCUUUCCCACAUUAAUCGCAAGGCAAGCAAGUGACAGAUUUUUACUUUUUAGUUCAAUCUUUUUAAAUCAAUUAUAAAAGAUGACAAAUAUACACCUCUCUUGGGAUACUUUAGAUAGGGCCUUAUAUAAGUAUUAUAUGUCCUAAAAUCAGGCAGAUCUUUCUUUAUCCCCGUCACAUAUUUUACAUUUCUGAAAGUAAAACAGGAAAUUACUUCAAGAAAAUGCCUGGAAGAAAAGCAAAUAUUUUCAAACUAUUCAGAAGAAUGGAAUUUUUCAAAAAUUAAAAGUU
Molecule: long non-coding RNA, 1342 nt
Filed under: Homo sapiens (human)
Lineage: Eukaryota; Metazoa; Chordata; Mammalia; Primates; Hominidae
Description: HSALNT0322501
Source: RNAcentral